CUCGGCCGUCCGCGGAUUCAAAGACCUUCCGCACACUUUGCAUGUAGUUUUCAUCCCGGCCGCUAGAUGUCGCUGUCAGAUAGACUGGGCUCUAGACUCACAGCAGAAGUGCACGUUGAUAAUGAAAAUAACUUCAUUGUCAACGUGCAGUGAAGCAACAGACUCAAGUUUCCAUCCGCCAGAUAAAAACAGCUGUUUCAAACCUGUGGUGGAUCUCAGUGGUCAUGAAGAGAACCUGCAGGACACUGUUGAGGAUGGUGGCUGUGUGAUAUCCACCCUGUAGACUGCCUACAAGAUUCACCAUCCCGUACAGUUUGAACGUCUUGUUCUACGGUGAAGAACACAGUCAGAUAAAAGCAGCUGAUUCCAACCUGUGGUGGAUCUCAGUGGUCAUGAAGAGAACCUGCAGGACACUGUUGAGCAUACCACAGGUGGGACAGGCUCGGAUGCAGGGACAGCCGUUGACGCCCUUCACAUCCUCAAAGACGAUAUCUGGACAGUUUUUCAAUGUGUUCAAAGGAUCUGGGCAGCCGUCAUUGUCACAGCGGUCUGAGCGAGG
Acanthopagrus latus (yellowfin seabream) is the source of this 559-nucleotide long non-coding RNA. RefSeq lists it as uncharacterized. The transcript is spliced from 5 exons. The record is from RefSeq and is a predicted model, not a curated record. Lineage: Eukaryota; Metazoa; Chordata; Actinopteri; Spariformes; Sparidae.